UAAAAUUUCAGCUCUUUUUGUAUUUGUCCAGCAGGCUUUCUGCUUUAGCAGAGACCCUC
This 59-nucleotide small nuclear RNA is filed under the name Podarcis muralis (Common wall lizard). RNAcentral's name for it is "U7 small nuclear RNA (ENSPMRG00000016132.1)". It matches the Rfam family "U7 small nuclear RNA". Rfam says of the family: Animal histone pre-mRNAs are spliced by a different mechanism than nuclear pre-mRNAs and self-splicing introns. This processing involves the U7 snRNP, which contains only one RNA species: U7. The record is from RNAcentral. Lineage: Eukaryota; Metazoa; Chordata; Lepidosauria; Squamata; Lacertidae.